GGACUGGUCAGUUUAUUCUGUGUGCUCUCAUUUAAAAAGUCUAUUUUACUGUUAUACUGUGUGUCCUAUUAUACUGUGUGUCUGCUAUAUUUCCUUACUCAGCUAUUUGCAAAACAUAUAUCAAUACUAGCUAGGAUGAAACCAAGAUAAACCUCUUCACAGAAACAGACUCGGUCUAAAAGGUCACGCCAGCUUGUGGUCAUGCCCCUAUGCAGCUGUUCCUGGAAGAUGACUGCUAAAUUAAAACCGCAUAAGAACUUUGUACUUUAUAUUUCGUUGUAUUUCCUCCCAUUUCAAGAUAUAUAUCUACGAAGUUUGAUAUCUAUUUUUAUAUCUAUGAAGUUUGUACUUUUCCAUUUGAAGCCACAUAGCGAAACCGCAAGCUUAGGAGGGUGUCAUAACAACCCCCACCUAGCCUAUAUAACCUUUUGUACCUUACAAUAAAGUGUGAAGAAGCAUUUUGUAUACUGAACUGUCUGUGUCAGUGUCAUUCCUGCUUAUCAGCUAGCUGAACUUAUUCACCACAAUUUGGAAGGGACAGAUACUCUCGGGACAUAUUUCUGUCCAUAACAAUUGGCUCCCAACGUGGGGCACCAGGUUCUGGCUGACCACUAGCCGAUGCCAAGGACAACAGUCGCCCAGUAGAGGAAAAGGACGGAGACUGAUCACCUCCGGGACACAGGUAAGACCUAUGUUAUUAGUUUCUUGCCUGUGUCAUACCUGUACCUACUGCUGAUGGUGUCUGUUGCCAAUAUCGACUUCUAUCAGCCAGCAAAGACAGGUAAAAUCUUGCCUGGUGCCAUUUACCUGACCUGUAUAAGAGUAUCUUGUCGCCUAUUAAUCUAUGGUUGAUGUUUAUUGUCUAUUAACUGCUUACUGGUGGAUGAAAAUAUAGAAUAAAAGGAUAGGGUAAUACUUCGGACAACAGGUGACAACUGGAUAUACAUUGUUUCUGACAUUUUGUGGGGGGAGGGACAAACGUGUCCCGACAAACGUGUCGGCCCCCCGGCGUCCUGUGCGUAGGACCAAGCAAAGUGUUAAGCAGUGUCUGCUACGGGGGGGAAGGACAGAAGUGUCCAGGACAAACGUGUUGACCCCGAGAAGCGUGUAUAUCAUACAUCUCCCAGACGUGGGAGAUGAGUACAUUUGCAGCUGAUUGACACAAGUGGUCUUUCUUCGGGGCUAGCAAACCCCGACUACCCAAGCGUGGGAGCGUGCAAAUUGCUGGAGUAGGAUAGCACACCUACUCCGUGACGGGUUGUCCCUGUUAUCCCUAGUUGUGAUAGUCAGAAGACCCACCAGUAUUGAGGUUGUUGUUCCCCUCGUGGACGUCAUUGAGUAUUGUAUUGUGUGUCCGAUGUCCUGUCCAGAGUGCGUGUUGGCCUGUUUAUGUUAUGUGUUACUUCGUCUCUGGGUGAUUUGGAUAAAAUAGAAGGGACAGAGAUAGUAUCGGCAGAUAUAGUACCAGUAAGGCCGGCCCUGAUGUAUUCGAAGGCGAGAGCCAGUGGAGGCAGGUAUCUAUAUAAGUAUAUGGACAGUAUCAGUAAGGCCGGCCCUGAUGUAUCCGAAGGCGAGAGCCAGUGGAGGCAAGUAUUGUCCAUAUACAUAGGCACAAUACCCUGGGUCCUCCCAACUGAUGAACUUUGUGAUUAGUCAGUGGGAGGCGGUUUGUCUAUAAUACGUGUGGAGAUAAAAAGUUCCCGAUUGACUGAGUUUUGUACCUGUCAAGCCUGUGGCGGUCCCCCACGUAUCAUACUGUCUCUGUUCAUAUCUGGCUAAACCCAGUAAGACAUCCCACCAGAGUUGAAAUUGUGUCAAUGUCAUGAGCUCAGUUAUGUCGUGUUUGUUUUUACUUGUGUGUAUCAAUUUAAUCAUUAUACAGACUGACCAAGAACCCUGCGCAAUAUAGUCUGUACUCCUUGUCUAUCCACAAAGUGUAAUUUUUGUAUUAGGUCUGGGGAUAGGGUUAUACAGCCAGAUGGCAAAAAUCAAGUAUUUGUACCACCUUUCCCAUUGCAUGGCAAAUAUACAGCCACCGCCUUAUAAUGGCGCCUCAGAAAAAGGACAGAUAGCCAGAGUAUGAGAACUAAAACGUCAUUGAGUUUCCCUGGUGGCCAUCUUCCCCUUGGUCACUGCCCCAGUCUAGAUCUGAAGAGUAAUAAUGGGACAAAAACAUCAGUACAAUGAGUGAGGGGGUCCCGGCAUGUGAGUUAGUGGCAGGCCGGGUGGGUAAAAAGGUAUGUAAGAAAAUAUGAUAGAUUGCCAAAAGAAUGCAAUUUGACCAAGAAUGACCCCCGCCUACAGCCGGAAGAAUGGCGUCUUCUCUUAACCGAGAAGAGAGGUGUGCUACUUGAUAAGGGUUUUGUAGAGACCGCUGAAGUUUAAAGUUGUUAAAUGCUUACACAAAGAAUAAUCGAAUCAAAUAGAAAAGUUAAAGUGAUGUAUUAGAAGCUCUAAUCCUACAAGAGUUGAGUGGUUGUUACUCAUAUGGCAUAACCACAAUCUGGAUCUUUUUCACCAACAUGAAGGUUGGUGAUCUGAGCAAAAUUCCAUCAGUAGCUGUUGAGAUUAUUCCAAUCCAUUCCCAAUAGAACAGCUAUCAUUGAUCCCACCACUCAUAGAAAUCAAAGAGAAGAACAAGAAAAGCUGCUAGCAGAAGGGUUAAGUUAGAAAAAUAGAGAAUAGUGAGAAGAGACAAUUCAUCUUUCAGUGCUGAAAACAGCAGCGCUGAUACAGGCAGUUCUCAGCCCCGCAGCCAAGCUCUACCCCGCCCGUACAGUACAAACUAGAGAAGAGGGGGGGAGAGGCGGGGGCACACA
Molecule: long non-coding RNA, 2819 nt
Organism: Xenopus laevis (African clawed frog)
Lineage: Eukaryota; Metazoa; Chordata; Amphibia; Anura; Pipidae
Exons: 2
Source: RefSeq, a predicted model, not a curated record